CCAUACCCCCUCUCCCGCUGACGCCCGGACCGGCGUGUCAUCCCCGACCCCGAGCCGGUGUCCACCUCCAUGGCGGAGGCCGGCCCGAGCACCGCCUCCCCGUGUAGCCCCGCGCGCCUCUCGAUCCCUGCAUACCGCGCCUCGACCCGAUUUCGCAGCCCUAUUAACCCCUCGAAUCCGAGCUCCAAUUCCUUGCGGUGCCGCUGCCGCCACCGCCACAGCUCCGACCGAGCCCAGCCGACGCCAGAGACCACCACAGCCUUCUCCGAGGAGAGCAACGGAACCGCCUAGUCAAGCCGAGCCUCUCGAAUUCGAGCUCGAGCACUCGCCGGCACCGCUACAGCUCCGACAGAGCCCAGCCGACGCCAGAGAACACCACCGACGUCUCCCAGGAGAGAAACGGAACGGCCGACUCAAGGCAAAUCUCUUAGACGCCUUCCCGAGCAGCAAGUAUCACCGGAGCCAGCUCAGCGACAAGCCCCAAAGCCGCCGGCGCCGCCUGAACGCCUCUGAUCCAAUAGAUCAAAACGUUCUACAUAUAUGUUGUUGAGAAACUUGCACAGCAUCUUGGUAUGGAUGAUCCUUCAAAACUUUGCCUUACACGCACAUCCCGCAUUUACCGCAACCGAAACAUCAAUACAUCAAGUAUAGAAGUAUUGAUCAUCUCUCAGACAUGUUACAUUUACAUAAGCCCAAUCAGAUGUAUGACAUUUUAUAUUAUGAGACACUGGACAUUCCUUUGCCAGAACUGCAAGGUCUGAUAACAUUGAGAGUUGGGCCCCGUUCGGGAAUACUCCGCUCCAGGCUCCGCUCCGGGAGCGGACGGAGCUCUAGUACAAAAUCUGGGAGCCAGCAAACCGCCGCUCCGCAGAUUCUAGGAGCUGGUGAAUUCCUGAACGCGGCCUUGCUUUUCACCAAGCUACACACAAUGAGGUGCUGUUUCACGUUAUAUGAUUGCCAAAAGGCAGUACGUUUUCUGAUUUGAUUGACAACUUAAAAUCAAAGGUUGAGCUAUCUCAAAAUGAUGCUGAACUUAGCUAUUUCAGGUCAACAAUAACAAGAUAUGGAAGGUGUACCAGCCAACUGAGAAAAUAGAUGCAGUUCAUGAUCCAAACCUCUUCAUGUUGAGGAGCAGGUAGAAUGUGCAUUCGUGAAAGAUAACACUGUUUGACGAAUUCGUGGGGAACGCGGUGCGGGAGUUGCUCCGUCCCGAGGGAGGCACGACGGCAGGCGGGUUGAACGUUGGCCACAGCGUAGUGUGAGCCGGGAGAGUUGCCGUCAACCUGGUCUCAGGGCGGGCAGGAACUAAUAGUUGGAUGCCAGCAACAAACUGCGCCACCAUUACUCCCUCCAGCCAUCUGCGCCGGUGCCGCUUCUCCUCAAAUACAAGCAAAGAAGCGCGCGCCGGUUCAUCGGAGACAGAGAAGGGAUGUUCCGGUGCAGUACAUGAAGUGUCUGUUCCGCACGGUGCAGUUCCUGAACGGAAAGGAGACACUGAACGGAAGGACAUACACUGACAAUUGUUAUGUGAAGAAGAGACUGGUGAGGUUGUUGAUGUCUGUGUGGUUCCCCAUGAAACUGGUUAUGUUGGAUUUGCUAUGGCUGAAGCUUCUCGCAAGGCAAUGUGUGAUGCCAUUUGCAACCUUCUUGUUGAGCAACCUGAAACAGGAGUAACUCCAUUAAUCAUUAUGUAGGUAUGUUAAUAAUCAUUAUGUCACAUUGUAAUUCCAUCACAAGAAUCAUCUCUCCUAUUUCAUUCUCUGAAUUUCUGUACUGGUGAUGCUUACAUAUAUGUAUAUUUUGCUUCUGCUUGAUGUCUCUCGUGCCUGAUCCGGUCUUGAUGAUCUAUGUGGCCGGAGAAAAUACAUUGCCUAUGAAUUUGUCUAAAGAUGCAUUAUGAUACCCAGCUGUGUUGGUAUGGCUUAAAAAUAUGUCUGCAGAGUAUUAUUGAUGGUUAUUUUGCAUGUUGGAUCAUGUUAGUAAUGUACUUUGAAAUUAUUUUCCCUCCUCGUCUCAGUUUUGUUUUUCUUUUAGGAAAGACCCUACGCGGUUUUAUGGUAUAAAUAUGUGUAUAUGUUUUAGGCAAUAUUAUGGUAGCUGCAGGAGUGGGCGGUGCUCGGCUGCCGACAGGCGCUGAUGACGGUGGCCGAGUUGGACCCCGUCAGGGACAGGGCGCGCAUGUACGUCGAGGUGCUCCAGGGCAGCGCGUGAGGCAGUGAGAAGGUCGUGCUGUAUGAGGUGGGGCGCAAGGACCACAUGUAUUACUUCCUGAAAAUCGCGAGAUCCAACCCUGUCGUGGCGUUUUUCCACUCAACCGUUCAAAUUAUACUGUUUUUAUACUGAGUUUCAGGUUCGUUUGUACCCGACUACAACUUCAGAGAAGUGAUCAUGUAUUUCUUGUCUUAUCAGAUUAUAUUGUGCAGAUGUAUGUCUUGUUUUUUUUUUUUUUGCGGGGCAGAUGUAUGUCUUGUUGAUUAGUAGUAGUAUCAUUCAGAAGCUUUCUAAAGAUGAAUAGAUCGGAAGUUUUCUCCAAAAAAUGGGUUGGCCUUGCUGACUUGCCCCACUUGCCACCACUGUACCACUGUAGUAUCUGAGAUGUUUUGCUGUUCAGCCAAUAAUUACCACCUAUGUAAAGUUUACAGAGGGAGUAAUUAAUUAGAUCUAUUCUAUUAGCCAAUAUUUCUAUUCUUUUGUGUCAUUCUCAGAUUUAUUAGUAUUUUCUAUUCCCAUCUCUUUAUUUGAUGUCAUGAACUCUGAAAAAAAUGCUUUAUGUUUCGUUUGCAUUUCCUUCCGGUUUGUGGUGGUCAAUGCAUGUAGAACGUGCAGAUUUACCAGGAAUUUUAUUUUUAGUUCUUUUUA
This is a long non-coding RNA of Triticum aestivum (bread wheat), 2859 nucleotides long. RefSeq lists it as uncharacterized. NCBI's taxonomy places the organism in Eukaryota, Viridiplantae, Streptophyta, Magnoliopsida, Poales, Poaceae. The record is from RefSeq and is a predicted model, not a curated record. The transcript has 10 exons.